Molecule: long non-coding RNA, 1607 nt
Filed under: Brassica napus (rape)
Lineage: Eukaryota; Viridiplantae; Streptophyta; Magnoliopsida; Brassicales; Brassicaceae
Description: long non-coding RNA (BNAP_LNC012631)
Source: RNAcentral
CACAUAAUAAGUAAAACGACAUUCUUAUUGAACUAAAAAAAACUAGUAAACCCUCCUUCUCACAAGGAAUCUUUCCCCACACUUCCUCUUCUUCUACUCUCAGCCACUUUGUUUGAUCUUCUUGGACCUGAGCCUCUUCUGCACAAAUGCCAGUGGAACAGGUAACUUAUCACGUUGCUUCCCUCUCCGCUCUAGCCUCAUCAUCUCGCUCCAGUCGAUUGCUCUUUCAGUUUACUCCAAGGUUUUUCUAGAGCUCGUCCACUCAGAUCGGAGUGAAAAGUUUCGGUGAGGCUCGCCACCGAAGACCUUUGUUUCGUUAGUUCAUGAGACGACUGCCAUGGUGUACUUGCAGUAAUCGCAAGGUUCUCUUCUUCUCGCUCGCGACGUUGUCUCCUAAUGUUUUGAGGACAACCUGAUGAGUAGGCGUUAUUUGCCUGAUGGCGGAGCUCCGGCUCUCUGGUUUUGUCACCUGCUUUUUGGAGGACGCUUCUAGCUCCUUCUACGGUUUCUUUUGUGUUUUCCUUGAUUACUCCGCCGAUUCUCCAGAGAUCUCCUCCUGAUCGGAUGAGGUGGCCAUUGUACCGCCUGCGCUUGAUCGGAGCUUAUCUCAUGUGUUUAUAGUUCAUCGGCGAUGCUUGUGGACAGCACCUUCGUCUUCAGCUGAGUUGGCUUUAGGUCUGUUUGUCGACGUCCUCCUCCUGUAGUGUUCCGGGGGUGGGAGCCAGACACCUCCGUCAAGCUGCGUGGAACCAUCUUCAGGUAAGUUCUCGUCUGAGCGGACCUUUUAAGCUAUUUCUCUUGUUCACUCGUCCGAUUAAACUUGAAGCGCAAAGACUAGAAGCUUAAUUGGUUGUCUCUUGUGCUAGAUUGUUAUUAACUUCAAAUUUACCGGUUUUGGUAUGCUUGGACUUAGUCUUUGUGUUUCUUAGUGGUUUUUAAAAUUUUUUUUUUUCGGGCUCUGAGAACGGAUUAGCUAUUAAACAGAUUGUGAUUUUCAAUUAACAAUGUAACCAAACUUUCAGUAAAGUGAUGACAUUUAAAAUUUAGCAACAAAAGAAAACAUUCUUAAAUAUUGGGACGUAAAUCUUGGAUCGUAAUAGGAGUCAGAACCUCAACCUUAACUUCGAUGUAUUCUUAUGUGUCUACAUAAUUUUUAAAUGAACUCAGACACGUUUUUUAUUUAUGACAUUUUUGAAGUGGUUAAGCGUUAUUAACUUACUAUUCACUUUCAGAAAGACUAAACAGUGUGUUGGCAUGCUUGCAUAUAUAUAUAUACUGUUGUUAAUAUAGUUGUAUCUCUAUUAUCACGUCUCCAUAUGUUUGGCUAUAAGAUGUAAAUCACCACAAGAACUUUUAUAUUAUCACACCAACGUAAGAAAAUGCUUCCAUCAAUAGAUAUGACUCCAACGAAAAUGUCGGACCAUAUUUCCAUAAGAUAUCUAGUACGAGUAUUGUCAAUUACUCUGAACAAACCCAUUUAAAGAUCUUGAACAACAUUACAGCAUUCAUGCAAGUGGAUAGAAAGCAAGACGGGCCAAGCCACACAUUCCUUGGGGUGUAUCCACGUCUCUCUUGAUUCUCAUGUAACCAUUUUCUCCCCAAGUUUG